GGUCCCCAACACUUGAUAUAAUAGCAAAUUAAGGAUCUGUGUAGAAUUUGUUUUCAAUUCUGACUUUUGGUCUCAUAAAUAGUGAAAUUUGGGGUUCUUAUUAAAGAGUGAUACUUGCUAUUACUUUUGAACUCAUUUGUUUUAUUGUCAGUGAUUGCAGAGUCAGGAAUUGUGAAGUUGUAUUUAAUUAUUGGCAAUUUGUUUCAAAUCUCUUAUUGUUCUAGAACUUCUUGCUAUUUGAAAUAAGUAUAAUUGCUGAUCAUAGAUAGGCAAAUGUGAUUCUGAUGCUCGCUUCAUAGACUGGUGAAAAUGUGUGAUGACCAGUUGAAAUUAACUUUCCACAAUAAUUUUAAUUGAGAACACAUAUCUGAUUGGAAAAAAAUGUUGUCAGGGUCAUGUGAAGCAGAAAGU
Molecule: unclassified non-coding RNA, 411 nt
Filed under: Hevea brasiliensis (rubber tree)
Lineage: Eukaryota; Viridiplantae; Streptophyta; Magnoliopsida; Malpighiales; Euphorbiaceae
Source: RNAcentral